This 253-nucleotide ribosomal RNA is filed under the name uncultured bacterium. Its description in RNAcentral is "partial 16S ribosomal RNA". It matches the Rfam family "Bacterial small subunit ribosomal RNA", at positions 524 to 776 of the family's 1533-position model. The record is from RNAcentral.
UACGAAGGGGGCUAGCGUUGUUCGGAAUUACUGGGCGUAAAGGGCGCGUAGGCGGUACUUCAAGUCAGGCGUGAAAGCCCCGGGCUCAACCUGGGAACCGCGCUUGAGACUGGGGAACUAGAGUUCGGGAGAGGAUGGUGGAAUUCCCAGUGUAGAGGUGAAAUUCGUAGAUAUCGGGAGGAACACCAGUGGCGAAGGCGACUACCUGGCCUGUUCUUGACGCUGAGGCGCGAAAGCUAGGGGAGCAAACGGG